UGCAAGUCGAGCGAGAAGACGUAGCAAUACGUUUGUAAAGCGGCGAACGGGUGAGGAAUACAUGGGUAACCUACCCUUGAGUGGGGAAUAACUAGCCGAAAGGUUAGCUACAUACCGCGUACGCUUCUUGGACUUCGGUUCAGGGAGGAAAGCGCUACCGUGGGUAGCGCGCUCUUGGAUGGGCUCAUGUCCUAUCAGCUUGUUGGUGAGGUAACGGCUCACCAAGGCUUCGACGGGUAGCUGGUCUGAGAGGACGAUCAGCCACACUGGCACUGCGACACGGGCCAGACUCCUACGGGAGGCAGCAGUAAGGAAUAUUGCGCAAUGGGCGAAAGCCUGACGCAGCGACGCCGCGUGGGGGAUGAAGGUCUUCGGAUUGUAAACCCCUUUCGGGAGGGAAGAUGGAAUGGGGUAACCCAUUCGGACGGUACCUCCAGAAGCAGCCACGGCUAACUUCGUGCCAGCAGCCGCGGUAAUACGAAGGUGGCAAGCGUUAUUCGGAUUUACUGGGCGUACAGGGAGCGUAGGCGGUUCGGUAAGCCCUUUGUGAAAUCUUCAGGCUUAACCUGGAACAGUCGGAGGGGACUGCCGGGCUAGAGGACGGGAGAGAAGCGC
This 615-nucleotide ribosomal RNA is filed under the name uncultured Nitrospira sp. RNAcentral's name for it is "bacterial SSU rRNA". It matches the Rfam family "Bacterial small subunit ribosomal RNA", at positions 56 to 662 of the family's 1533-position model. The record is from RNAcentral. Lineage: Bacteria; Pseudomonadati; Nitrospirota; Nitrospiria; Nitrospirales; Nitrospiraceae.